Molecule: non-coding RNA, 72 nt
Organism: Phrynosoma platyrhinos (Desert horned lizard)
Lineage: Eukaryota; Metazoa; Chordata; Lepidosauria; Squamata; Phrynosomatidae
Source: the annotation of a GenBank genome assembly
GCCCUGGUGGUGCAGUGGUUAAGUGCUGGUACUGCAGCUACAAGGUUGUGAGUUCGAUUCCAACCAGGGGCU